GCUGAACGCUGUGGUGCAUGCCUAUAGUCACAACUAUUCAGGAGGCUGAGGUGGGAGGAUCGCUUGGGUCCAGCAGUUUUGGGCUGUAGUGUGCUAUGCUGAUGGAGUGUCCACACUAUGUCUGGCCACAAUGUAGUGACCUCCCAAAUCAGGGGAUCACCAGGUUGCUUGAGGAGGGGUGAGCCUAGGUCAUUCCAGCCCAGGUCAGAAAUGGAGCAGGUCAAAACUGCCGUGUUGAUCAGUAGUGGGAUUGCACCUGUGAAUAGCCACUGCCCUCCAGACUGGGCAACAUAGUGGGACCCCCAUCUCU
Molecule: unclassified non-coding RNA, 310 nt
Organism: Chlorocebus sabaeus (green monkey)
Lineage: Eukaryota; Metazoa; Chordata; Mammalia; Primates; Cercopithecidae
Rfam family: Metazoan signal recognition particle RNA
About the family: The signal recognition particle (SRP) is a universally conserved ribonucleoprotein. It is involved in the co-translational targeting of proteins to membranes.
Source: Ensembl